RNAcentral lists this ribosomal RNA (484 nucleotides) under uncultured bacterium. RNAcentral's name for it is "partial 16S ribosomal RNA". It matches the Rfam family "Bacterial small subunit ribosomal RNA", at positions 30 to 507 of the family's 1533-position model. The record is from RNAcentral.
AUUGAACGCUGGCGGCAGGCCUAACACAUGCAAGUCGAGCGGAUGAAGGGAGCUUGCUCCUGGAUUCAGCGGCGGACGGGUGAGUAAUGCCUAGGAAUCUGCCUGGUAGUGGGGGAUAACGUCCGGAAACGGGCGCUAAUACCGCAUACGUCCUGAGGGAGAAAGUGGGGGAUCUUCGGACCUUACGCUAUCAGAUGAGCCUAGGUCGGAUUAGCUAGUUGGUGGGGUAAAGGCCUACCAAGGCGACGAUCCGUAACUGGUCUGAGAGGAUGAUCAGUCACACUGGAACUAAGACACGGUCCAGACUCCUACGGGAGGCAGCAGUGGGGAAUAUUGGACAAUGGGCGAAAGCCUGAUCCAGCCAUGCCGCGUGUGUGAAGAAGGUCUUCGGAUUGUAAAGCACUUUAAGUUGGGAGGAAGGGCAGUAAGUUAAUACCUUGCUGUUUUGACGUUACCAACAGAAUAAGCACCGGCUAACUUCGUG